GACGAACGCUGGCGGCGUGCUUAACACAUGCAAGUCGAACGGAAGGGCCCUGCUUUUGUGGGGUGCUCGAGUGGCGAACGGGUGAGUAACACGUGAGUAACCUGCCCUUGACUUUGGGAUAACUUCAGGAAACUGGGGCUAAUACCGGAUAGGAGCUCCUGCUGCAUGGUGGGGGUUGGAAAGUUUCGGCGGUUGGGGAUGGACUCGCGGCUUAUCAGCUUGUUGGUGGGGUAGUGGCUUACCAAGGCUUUGACGGGUAGCCGGCCUGAGAGGGUGACCGGCCACAUUGGGACUGAGAUACGGCCCAGACUCCUACGGGAGGCAGCAGUGGGGAAUAUUGCACAAUGGGCGGAAGCCUGAUGCAGCAACGCCGCGUGCGGGAUAACGGCCUUCGGGUUGUAAACCGCUUUCGCCUGUGACGAAGCGUGAGUGACGGUAAUGGGUAAAGAAGCACCGGCUAACUACGUG
Molecule: ribosomal RNA, 468 nt
Filed under: uncultured bacterium
Lineage: Bacteria
Description: partial 16S ribosomal RNA
Rfam family: Bacterial small subunit ribosomal RNA
Source: RNAcentral